Molecule: long non-coding RNA, 2065 nt
Organism: Panicum virgatum (switchgrass)
Lineage: Eukaryota; Viridiplantae; Streptophyta; Magnoliopsida; Poales; Poaceae
Exons: 2
Source: RefSeq, a predicted model, not a curated record
GAGAGUGGGGGACGCCGCUGUUUAAAUAGGCCCGGCCGGGGGUUCACGCCACGUGUGUCGAUUGGCAGUUCUACCCUCAGCAGCUGCGUCGCCCUAGACGCACCAGGAGCAAGGGCAGGACAGUCAAAUCCAGCCGAGCGAGACCCAGCCUCAGAUCGGUCAAACAUGGCCGCGGCCGCGGCCGCUCGACCAGCCACCACACGACACGACGCAUGCAGGUGCAGUGCCAUGCCCGGCCGUCCCCACCGGCGGCUCAAUCACCGUCUUGCCCACACGAGCAGGCGCUGCGGCACAGCGCAGGCGCUCCGGGGAGGGCCAGGCCCCAGCCCCGCAUGGUGGUGGCACGACGCGCGCGGUGGUGGGUGACGACGAGCCGCCGGCCCUGGCCCGCACAGGCUAGCCGGCGAGAUUGAAGAAAUCUUGCGUGGAAAAGCUCUCUUGGCCUCUCAUGGCGGGGGUUAGCACAGCUAGCAUCGUCCAGGAGGGAGGCGCAGUCCGCGCCGCGCCAGCCAGAAUGAGCUCGAGCGUAUGGCUUGUCGCUCGGGGAGGACGGUGGCGGCGGCUGUUGCACGGCAGGCUGGAGGUGGAGCCGUCCAUGGGGUUUUAUUGAAAAUGUCUGUUCCGGCACAACAACAAAAUUCCUUUCACCAGAGAGCUUGCUGCUGCGAAUACGACAACGUCUAAAUUCCAAUGCUCGUCUACAUCACGGCAAAAUGCGUCCUACUAGUCAAUGUCCUUUUCUGACUUAUGGUGGAGAUUGGGCCCAUAUUUUCUCCAAGUGUCAAAGAAGCAUCAUUGAAGCAUUUUGGACAGCUAAUCCCCUUCUCGAGCAGGAUAACCAUGUCAAGAGCACGAUCCUCAUCUGCAUCUUCUUGAAUAUUUGGAAAUGUAAGAAUGCGGCAUGAAGAUGGGUCCGACCUUCAAAUUUCCAAGCGAUGUCACAAUGACAUCCUUCUAUGGACCAACAGAUGCAACCCCGUCGCUUCCCCCGUCGCUCCGACUCCACCACACCCCGCCACCACCCUCUGCCUCCGCCACCGCCGGAGCUGCCUGCCGGAAGUCCGGCACGCAGCGAAGAGGGCGGCGGCGGGGCCGUAGUUCUCCCUCAUUCCCUAUCUCUCUCCUCUUUUUUUUCCCAUCCCCUCCGUGCUUCCUUCCUCGGCCAGAUCUGCUCUUGUGGAGGCUGGAUCCGUGCGCUGGUGGGUCGGAUCCGCGCUCCCCCGGCCGUUCCUAGCUGGAUCCGGUGUUGGCCGCCGUUGACCUCGGUGGUGCCGGGCAGGCCCUUGGCCUUGCUGCGGUGGCCCCCUACGCCGUGGCGGCAGCGUGCGGCCCAGCGGCGCCUGUCUCGGCCAUUACCGGCUGUGACGACGCCUGUGGUUCCGGCUGCAAGCAGAUCGCCGGAUUGGGGCUGCAGGUGGGCGGUUGCUCGUGGUUUGGCCAGCAGCAGGGCAACGGCCGGCCGAUCUUCUUGUGCCGGCAUGCGGACUUGAUUCGGUGUGCACAUGGAGAAAUCUCAGCUGGCAAUAUGCCGGCCGGCAAUGACGCUGCUUGUUACAGUAUUUUCCUCGCCGGAGGUUUUGACGAUGUGCUAUGCUAUUUGCAGAUCCGUGAGUGUCGGGUGAUACGGGAAACCGUUCGAGGAAAUUCUUGGCCGGCGUAACGCUGGCGUCAACAUUGGUGACAUCGUUUGGUGCCAUUCCCUCGCUGUGCCAUUCCCUUGCUGGAGGUGAUGCUGACAUAUCCUCGUACCCUUGCGCCAGACGGAGGUUUAUGUGAAAAGGCAAGGAACAGACCAUCCGGAUAUUAAGCUUCUAAGUAGGCGAGUGAUGCGAUGGUUUGGUACCUGUGAGUACAGUGCAAGAUUGAAGCGGAACGAAGAAAAAAUUUGAAGCUUAGUCUUUUAGGUUUCUUUUUUUAUAUAGUUUUUUCUUAUAUUUGUGAAUUUCCUCGUUUGAGGUCUAGAGCCUAAGAGCUCUUGUAACCCUUUUGGAUGUAGUCAUUCACUGGUGAAUGAUUAAGGCCGGAAUUUUUCAUAAUCUAAAGAAAAUUGGCCAAGAUUGUUGAA